GAUGAAGAACGUAGUGAAAUGCGAUAAGUAAUGUGAAUUGCAGAAUUCCGUGAAUCAUCGAAUCUUUGAACGCACAUUGCGCCCCCUGGCAUUCCGGGGGCAUGCCUGUCCGGGCGUCAUUUCUGCCCUCAAGCACGGCUUGUGUGUUGGGUGUGGUCCCCCUGCUACAGGGGGGACUUGCCCGAAAGGCAGCGGCGACGCCCGCCUCGGUCCUCAAGCGUAUGGGGCUUUGUCACCUGCUUGGGAGGGGCCGACGGGUGUUGGUCAUCCACGAUUUUUUCCACGGUUGACCUCGGAUCAGGUAGGAGUUACCCGCUGAACUUAAGCAUAUCAAUAAGCGGAGGA
Molecule: unclassified non-coding RNA, 345 nt
Filed under: soil metagenome
Description: partial contains 5.8S ribosomal RNA, internal transcribed spacer 2, and large subunit ribosomal RNA
Rfam family: 5.8S ribosomal RNA (bases 1-119)
Source: RNAcentral